Capsicum annuum is the source of this 812-nucleotide long non-coding RNA. RefSeq lists it as uncharacterized. The record is from RefSeq and is a predicted model, not a curated record. The transcript has 4 exons. NCBI's taxonomy places the organism in Eukaryota, Viridiplantae, Streptophyta, Magnoliopsida, Solanales, Solanaceae.
AGUGAAAACAAGCCCAAAUUUCGUUUUUCGUUCACAUAUCUUUGAAGAAGAAGAAGAAGGUCUUACUUGCUGGCUUUGCGUUCGGUGCUUCUGUAGGCAUUUUUACCAAAUGUUUCUUCCAAACAGAUCAAAACUCUGUUGUCAGCUUUUUGGUAGGUGCAGCAAUUUGCUUUGGAGCUUUCUGGUGUGGAGCCAAGGUGUCAAGGCUAAGGCUCAUCAUCUAUGCCAGUGGCCUAUCAGUUUCUUAUGUUUUCAUCUACUUGUGGUUUGUGAUUGCUUCUGACAUGAUAUUUGACGGCCUCACAUAUUCUUCAUGAUCUUUGAGGCCUCACAUAUUCUUGGACACUAACGGUAUUUGCUGUGUUGGCAUUGUUUGUGGCGUACUUUGUGAUAUAUAGCCAAGACAUAGUGUAUAUUGCUCUUUCUGAUGAUGUUGAUUUUGUCAAAUGCACAUUCACCAUCUUCUCCAAUUUAUCCACUUUACUAUUUCGUGUUGCCCGAUUAGAGGUGAAUGCAAUGAUGGAACACUGCCGGCAGAGUUAAUGCUGUCACAGUAAAACCUACAAUUUCUCUUUGAAACUACAUUUUACUGUACGUAUUUGGAAUUCUCAAGUCUGAAGCCAAGUGCUAUGAAUAUUUCUUGGCAAAUACUGGUUGUUGAUUGAUUACCGUGCCCCAUAGUUAAGAAAAAUUUGAAUAGCAUAUACAUAAUUUUUCUUCCUUUUUCAAGCAAAGUUAAUGAGAAUAUUUGGAAUAUACAAGAGCUAUAAUUGUUAACAUUUAUGGAUGCUGUUCAACUUUACUUUAUUGCA